Polistes dominula (European paper wasp) is the source of this 584-nucleotide long non-coding RNA. The record is from RefSeq and is a predicted model, not a curated record. Lineage: Eukaryota; Metazoa; Arthropoda; Insecta; Hymenoptera; Vespidae.
GAAAUAGAGAGAUGAAGUACAUGGAUUUAUAAAGCCGGGGUUGGUUUCAUGCUUGUCGUUAACGUACUGCUGCAAAGUUGAAAUAGCGUACUCUCUUUUGCGGAACUAACUUCGACAGACCGAAGUUGGUGUUGCAUACUGCAAUAUUCGUUGAAUUUGAAGUAGCUGUCUUAAUAAGAAGAAUACAGCACUGUAGGAAGAAGAGCAAGCAUGGAAUGCUAUACAUUGCUUUUUCCCGAGUUAAGAGGCGAAGUAGUUUAAAAGUUCUGCAACCACCAGACAAUCUACAUUGCUUCCGCGAUGUUGUAUGGAAAGAAGUGUUGAAUACCAUGGAGGUUAACCUGGAUAUAAUGCAUAUGGACUUGACUAUGAAGAAAGCAGUGCCAGUUAUUCAAACAACAUGAAAAACUUCAAAACGAAAGCCGAACAAUUUUAGAUGGAUCGCGUAUUCGCAUAUUUAGGACGCGAAACAAUAUGAAUAAUUAAUAAUGAAUAAUGAAAUAGAUGGAAAUUUGUUAUAGAAGAUAUAAAUAGAUAAUGAUUAUUUUUGGAUUUAAUAAAGUAUCUCUCUACAAAUGCUUUAA